RNAcentral lists this ribosomal RNA (433 nucleotides) under uncultured bacterium. RNAcentral describes it as "partial 16S ribosomal RNA". It matches the Rfam family "Bacterial small subunit ribosomal RNA", at positions 29 to 507 of the family's 1533-position model. The record is from RNAcentral.
AACGAACGCUGGCGGCAUGCCUAACACAUGCAAGUCGAACGAGACCUUCGGGUCUAGUGGCGCACGGGUGCGUAACGCGUGGGAACCUGCCCUUAGGUUCGGAAUAACUCCCCGAAAGGGGUGCUAAUACCGGUUAAUGUCUUCGGACCAAGGAUUUAUCGCCUUUGGAUGGGCCCGCGUUGGAUUAGCUAGUUGGUAGGGUAAAAGCCUACCAAGGCGACGAUCCAUAGCUGGUCUGAGAGGAUGAUCAGCCACACUGGGACUGAGACACGGCCCAGACUCCUACGGGAGGCAGCAGUGGGGAAUAUUGGACAAUGGGCGAAAGCCUGAUCCAGCAAUGCCGCGUGAGUGAUGAAGGCCUUAGGGUUGUAAAGCUCUUUUACCCGGGAUGAUAAUGACAGUACCGGGAGAAUAAGCUCCGGCCAACUCCGUG